UGCAGUCGACGAGUUCUCGUUGAUGAUCGGUGCUUGCACCGAGAUUCAACAUGGAACGAGUGGCGGACGGGUGAGUAACACGUGGGUAACCUGCCCUUAAGUGGGGGAUAACAUUUGGAAACAGAUGCUAAUACCGCAUAGAUCCAAGAACCGCAUGGUUCUUGGCUGAAAGAUGGCGUAAGCUAUCGCUUUUGGAUGGACCCGCGGCGUAUUAGCUAGUUGGUGAGGUAAUGGCUCACCAAGGCGAUGAUACGUAGCCGAACUGAGAGGUUGAUCGGCCACAUUGGGACUGAGACACGGCCCAAACUCCUACGGGAGGCAGCAGUAGGGAAUCUUCCACAAUGGACGCAAGUCUGAUGGAGCAACGCCGCGUGAGUGAAGAAGGCUUUCGGGUCGUAAAACUCUGUUGUUGGAGAAGAAUGGUCGGCAGAGUAACUGUUGCCGGCGUGACGGUAUCCAACCAGAAAGCCACGGCUAACUACGUGCCAGCAGCCGCGGUAAUACGUAGGUGGCAAGCGUUAUCCGGAUUUAUUGGGCGUAAAGCGAGCGCAGGCGGUUUUUUAAGUCUGAUGUGAAAGCCCUCGGCUUAACCGAGGAAGCGCAUCGGAAACUGGGAAACUUGAGUGCAGAAGAGGACAGUGGAACUCCAUGUGUAGCGGUGAAAUGCGUAGAUAUAUGGAAGAACACCAGUGGCGAAGGCGGCUGUCUGGUCUGUAACUGACGCUGAGGCUCGAAAGCAUGGGUAGCGAACAGGAUUAGAUACCCUGGUAGUC
This 773-nucleotide ribosomal RNA is filed under the name Lactobacillus casei group sp. RNAcentral describes it as "bacterial SSU rRNA". It matches the Rfam family "Bacterial small subunit ribosomal RNA", at positions 56 to 795 of the family's 1533-position model. The record is from RNAcentral. Lineage: Bacteria; Bacillati; Bacillota; Bacilli; Lactobacillales; Lactobacillaceae.